RNAcentral lists this long non-coding RNA (208 nucleotides) under Homo sapiens (human). Its description in RNAcentral is "HSALNT0291018". Lineage: Eukaryota; Metazoa; Chordata; Mammalia; Primates; Hominidae. The record is from RNAcentral.
AUCAAGUGAUCCGUCCGCCUUUGCCUCCCAAAGUGCUGGGAUUACAGCGGGGAGCCACUGCGCCCAGCCCAGCCAGCCCGAUUCUGACCCAGAGGGUUUAGAAGUUGCUUAGACAGAUCUGCUCCUGCUAGUCAAGUGAAGCAGUGGGAGGCGGAGGACAAAAAGAAUUUUGACUAAGGCAAUAAAUAUAUUAUACAAGUGAAGUAUU